This 67-nucleotide ribosomal RNA is filed under the name Metamycoplasma neophronis. RNAcentral describes it as "Mycoplasma neophronis partial 23S ribosomal RNA". The record is from RNAcentral. Lineage: Bacteria; Bacillati; Mycoplasmatota; Mycoplasmoidales; Metamycoplasmataceae.
AGGCUGGAGGUGUAAGUGCAGCAAUGCAUUCAGCUGACCAGUACUAAUAAAUUGAUAGGUUUAAUAG